ACGACUGCUAAGACUGGAUAGGAAGAUAAAAGGCAUCUUGUAUCUUUUAAAAGACCUAGUUAAUAGGUAUGCUUUAGGAGGGGCUUGCGCCAUAUUAGUUAGUUGGUAGGGUAAUGGCCUACCAAGACGAUGAUGUGUAGCUGGACUGAGAGGUUGAACAGCCACAUUGGGACUGAGACACGGCCCAAACUCCUACGGGAGGCAGCAGUAGGGAAUUUUCGGCAAUGGAGGAAACUCUGACCGAGCAACGCCGCGUGAAUGACGAAGUACUUCGGUAUGUAAAGUUCUUUUAUCGAGGAAGAAAAGCAAAUGGCGAACCAUUUGUUUGCCGGUACUUGAUGAAUAAGCCCCGGCUAAUUAUGUGCCAGCAGCCGCGGUAAGACAUAAGGGGCAAGUGUUAUCCGGAAUUAUUGGGCGUAAAGGGUGCGUAGGCGGUCUAGUAAGUCAGUGGUGUAAUGUCAACGCUUAACGUUGUCCGGCUAUUGAAACUGCUAAACUUGAGUUAGAUAGAGGCGAGUGGAAUUCCAUGUGCAGCGGUAAAAUGCGUAAAUAUAUGGAGGAACACCAGAGGCGUAGGCGGCUCGCUGGGUCUUAACUGACGCUGAGGCACGAAAGCGUGGGGAGCAAACAGGAUUAGAUACCCUGGUAGUCCACGCCGUAAACGAUGAGUACUAAGUGUCGGGUUAAACCGGUACUGAAGUUAACACAUUAAGUACUCCGCCUGAGUAGUACGUACGCAAGUAUGAAACUUAAAGGAAUUGACGGGACUCCGCACAAGCGGUGGAUCAUGUUGUUUAAUUCGAAGAUACCCGAAAAACCUUACCAGGUCUUGACAUGUUUUUGCAAAAUGAUAGUAAUAUCGUGGAGGUUACCAGAAACACAGGUGGUGCAUGGUUGUCGUCAGCUCGUGUCGUGAGAUGUUAGGUUAAGUCCUAAAACGAGCGAAACCCUUAUCGUUAGUUGCCAGCACGUUAUGGUGGGGACUUUAACGAGACUGCCAAUGAUAAAUUGGAGGAAGGUGAGGAUCACGUCAAAUCAGCAUGCCCCUUAUGACCUGGGCUACAAACGUGAUACAAUGGCUGUUACAAAGGGUAGCUGAAACGCAAGUUCUUGGCCAAUCCCCAAAAACAGUCCCAGUCCGGAUUGAAGUCUGCAACUCGACUUCAUGAAGUUGGAAUCGCUAGUAAUCGCGAAUCAGCAUGUCGCGGUGAAUACGUUCACGGGGUUUGUACACACCGCCCGUCA
This 1245-nucleotide ribosomal RNA is filed under the name Tomato yellows phytoplasma. RNAcentral describes it as "bacterial SSU rRNA". It matches the Rfam family "Bacterial small subunit ribosomal RNA", at positions 156 to 1399 of the family's 1533-position model. Lineage: Bacteria; Bacillati; Mycoplasmatota; Mollicutes; Acholeplasmatales; Acholeplasmataceae. The record is from RNAcentral.